RNAcentral lists this unclassified non-coding RNA (425 nucleotides) under soil metagenome. RNAcentral describes it as "partial contains 5.8S ribosomal RNA, internal transcribed spacer 2, and large subunit ribosomal RNA". The stretch from base 1 to 120 matches the Rfam family "5.8S ribosomal RNA", at positions 35 to 154 of the family's 154-position model. The record is from RNAcentral.
GAUGAAGAACGUAGCGAAAUGCGAUAAGUAGUGUGAAUUGCAGAAUUCCGUGAAUCAUCGAAUCUUUGAACGCACAUUGCGCCUUCUGGUAUUCCGGAAGGCAUGCCUGUUCGAGAGUCAUUAACAACCGUUUCGAUCCCUUUCUUUCAGAAAUUACAAAGAGGAAAAGGGUUUGGUUAUGGUGGAGGAGGGAAAGGGAGCGUUUAGCCUGUAAAAAAAGAGGCUGUGUUCCGCCUCCCCCCCAAAAUUGUACAGGCGGUCGUGUGCGCCCACGCAUCGAGGUGAUGUAAAAGCUGCCACGGCACUUUUCACCUGUGCAGUGCGAGAUUGGCCAGCCGGUUUAAAAACCCCUCCAAACAAUCAAAGGUUGACCUCGGAUCAGGUAGGGAUACCCGCUGAACUUAAGCAUAUCAAUAAGCGGAGGA